GUAUGAGGGAAGCAGGACUACGUGUUCAACCAAAUAUAAGCAGAUUCUCUGUGGCCUCCAUUGUCAGGACAUUCAAGUGUACUAUCAUUUGUGGUCGCUCAAACUUACAGUAGAAAUUGAAAGACUGCCACAUGCCGGUGGAAGGAGAGGUAUGUUCUCACAGCAGCAGGAGACCAUUAUUGUCAAUAUGGUCCUCCAAAAUAAUCUCAUUCGUCUGCGUGAAAUACAACAGCGAGUUGAGGAAGACAAAGUGAACUUUGAAGGAAUCAACAGUGUGAAUCUCUCCACCACUGACCGUGUCCUGAAACGCAACCUGAUAAGUCUCAAACAAGCUUACAGAGUACCAUUUGAGAGAAAUUCUGAAAGGGUAAAAGAGCUAUGAUAUCAAUAUGUACAAAGAAUGUUUCAACUGGAUUCCAUGGAAAUGCCUCAUGAGUGCAUAUUCUUGGAUGAAGCUGGCUUCAAUCUCACCAAGAGGAAAAGGAGAGGCUGCAACAUUAUUGGUCAACAUGCCAUUGUAGAGUUGCCAGGGCAGCGUGGUGGCAACAUGACCAUAUGUGCUGCCAUCAGCAGCUACGGGGUUAUUCACCGCGAUGUGACUUUAGGGCCUUACAGCACUGCCCAUCUUAUAAUGUUUCUGCAUGCUCUACAGGAAGCACUACUGAGACGUGAACAGAGAGGUGAUGAGCAGGCAGAGCAUCCCAUGUACGUGGUAAUCUGGGACAAUGUGAACUUUCACCGUGGUCCUAGAAUUCGAAAAUCUCAUUCAGUCAAUGGAUGCAGCAUGUGACAACAUUGGAGUGGAAGCGAUUCAAGGUUGGAUUCGGCAUGCUAAAGGAUUCUUUCCCCGUUGCUUAGCAAGAGACAGGAUUGACUGUGACGUUGAUGAGGUCCUGUGGCCUGACCAUGCCCAGAGGCAUGAUGCUGAGGCAGAAUGAUUCCAAGACAUUGCUUGCUAUUGAUCUGCUGCAUAUUGUUUGUGACUACAUUUACUGUAUGUGUGCAGGAUUGCAGGAAGUACUUCAUAAUAAAUAUAUUUUUACCCCUG
RNA transcript from Micropterus dolomieu (smallmouth bass), 1048 nucleotides. RefSeq lists it as uncharacterized. The transcript has 4 exons. The record is from RefSeq and is a predicted model, not a curated record. NCBI's taxonomy places the organism in Eukaryota, Metazoa, Chordata, Actinopteri, Centrarchiformes, Centrarchidae.